This is a non-coding RNA of Apis mellifera (honey bee), 102 nucleotides long. RefSeq annotates it as microRNA 219. The transcript has a single exon. NCBI's taxonomy places the organism in Eukaryota, Metazoa, Arthropoda, Insecta, Hymenoptera, Apidae. The record is from RefSeq and is marked provisional.
AAUUGAAUGUCUCAGGCAAUGAUUGUCCAAACGCAAUUCUUGUCUAAACGGUACGAAAUCAAGAAUUGUGUGGGGACAUCAGCGCUCGAGGUGCGAUUCAAC